Non-coding RNA from Salmo salar (Atlantic salmon), 2077 nucleotides. The record is from RefSeq and is a predicted model, not a curated record. NCBI's taxonomy places the organism in Eukaryota, Metazoa, Chordata, Actinopteri, Salmoniformes, Salmonidae.
GAGAGAGAGAGAGAGAGAGAGGGAGGAGGAAAGGCGUGUUUACAUAGACGGCAAAACGCCUGGGGAAUCGUAGGGAAGAGGAAGCCAGCCGGCUCUCUGUCUGCCUGCUCCAACUUCCUGCUCAGAAAGAGAAAAAGAAGCCAGGAUCCUAUUUCAGUCCAGCAGAGCCAUGUAGCCAAGCUAGACGGCAGUCAGAAUGGAAAAACAAGGGGUCAUACAAAUUUCAUCAUAAACUUUUUCAAGGAGUUUCAAGGAAAGGCAAACAAGAGAUCGCAGGUAUGGACAGUGCUAUCACGCUGUGGCAGUUCCUGUUACAGCUGUUAUUGGACCAGAGUCACAAGCACCUGAUCUGCUGGACGUCCACUGAAGGGGAGUUUAAACUGCUCAAGUCAGAGGAGGUGGCCAAGCUGUGGGGGCUCCGCAAGAACAAAACCAACAUGAACUACGACAAGCUGAGCAGAGCUCUGAGAUACUACUAUGACAAGAACAUUAUCAAGAAGGUGAUCGGACAGAAGUUUGUCUACAAGUUUGUCUCAUUCCCGGAAAUAUUAAAGAUGGACCCAGCAGCAGUGGAGAUGGGCUUGGCUUCUGGCCGGGUUACGCUCCACGAGGACCAGGACAUCCAGGACCUGGAUGUAGAGGAGGAGGAGGAAGAGGAGGAGGAGGCGCAGCAGCAGAGGAGGGCCCUGGGGGCAGCGUUAGGGGCGGCUGCGGCGGCCCAGCAGGCUGCGUGUCAUAACAAGUACUUCUGCUCUGGCCUCUACUCUUCCUUCAGCAUCAACACCCUCCAUUCUCCUUCCGAGGAGUUGCUCCGGGCCCUGAGGGAGAGACAGGAGAGACAGCAGGACGAGGCCCGCUCCGGAGUCAUCCGAUUUGGGACGGGUACCACCGAGAGGACUCCACCCUCACUGUCCCUCAUCAAGCCUGAGCCUUCAUCACAAUCCUUCAGCACCCACAGGCCAUCCAAACCCUCCCCUCUCCACCAUUAUACCCAACACCAACACCAGCGCCACUCUCCGCCCUCCUCCUCCCACCACAGCCCUAACCCCCAGCCAGGGCCAGGCCGAGGAGGCUGGAGCCCAGAGGCUGAAGAGGAGGAGGAGGGGGAGGACUCUGACCAGGGAGCCCAGCCUUUGAAUCUCUCUUCUGGGCUUAGAGAGAGAGAGCAGGCCCUGCAGCCUCCGGAGAAGAGGACCAAUGGUGUUAGUAGGGUUAGUGGUAGUAGUCAUGGAGACAGUUGUCAUGGACUCCCACCCAAAACCAAUAAGCCCAAAUCCCUAGAGAUCUCCGCCCCCUCCCUGCUCUUGACAGGAAGUGAUAUCGGCUCGAUAGCCCUCAAUAGCCCCGCCCUACCGUCCGGAUCCCUCACCCACACCUUCUUCACUGCACAGACUCCAUCUGGUCUGCUGCUGGGCCACAGCUCUCUGUUAUCAGGCGUUCACUUUUGGAGCAGCCUAAGUCCCUCAGCCCCUCUGAGCCCGGCCAGACUACAAGGACACCGAUCACUGUUUCAGGUAAAACCUGGAGGGAGGGAGUGAAAGACAGAAGUGCUGAAUGGACUGUGUUUUUUUUGUUUACUCCCCAAGAUGGGUAGUUGAGGAGGGAGUUCAGGGAGGGAGAGAAAGAAGGAUGGAUGGAGAGAGCGAGAGAGAGGAAGGAGGCAGAGGGACAGUGUUUGUUGGGUUGAUCGCCACAUCUUGUUCGUUUCCCCCCGAGGAUGGACAGUACCCCAACCUAAUGAAUGGACACCUCCCCCUGCCAAACUUGGACGGGUCCCCCUCACCCCUGCUCCUGUCCCCUGCCAAUCACAAGUCAUGAUUCAGGCUCUCAAAACCCAAUCCAGCUCAUUGGACCAACUGCCACCUGCAUCAAGCAUCAUGAAUUCCCAUCAGCCUUCACUUGAUUUUCUUCCAAAUUGUCUUAUGAUUUGGAGUCUCAACCCCCCCUCAUCCCCCAUCCAUCUCAACCCCCCCUCAUCCAUCUCAACCCCCCCCCACUCAUCUCACCUCCCCUCAUCCAUCUCAACCCCCCAUCCAUCUCAACCCCCCUCAUCCAUCUCAACCCCCCCACUCAUCUC